UAGAAUAGUAUUUAAUUUUAUAAAAUCUAACCUGCAAUUAGAAAUUGCCUUAGCCUAUUCUAA
Molecule: transfer RNA, 63 nt
Filed under: Ornithodoros tholozani
Lineage: Eukaryota; Metazoa; Arthropoda; Arachnida; Ixodida; Argasidae
Description: tRNA-Ala
Source: RNAcentral